AGACAUCAAGUGACAGGUACCUGACUGAACCCUCUGGAAACCAAGAAUGGAGUGAGAGAUCCACUUCAUCCUUACAACAGACAUCAAGUGACAGGUACCUGACUGAACCCUCUGGAAACCAAGAAUGGAGUGAGAGAUCCACUUCAUCCGUACAACAGACACCAAGUGACCUGACUGAACCCUCUGGAGACCAUGAAUAGA
Hippocampus zosterae (dwarf seahorse) is the source of this 201-nucleotide long non-coding RNA. RefSeq lists it as uncharacterized. The transcript is spliced from 3 exons. NCBI's taxonomy places the organism in Eukaryota, Metazoa, Chordata, Actinopteri, Syngnathiformes, Syngnathidae. The record is from RefSeq and is a predicted model, not a curated record.